GGUCAAGUCAUACAUGGAUCCCAUUCAUUUGUAGAUAUAGAUGCAAUAGAAGGCAAAAUUGAUCUUGUUUUACAUAAAUUCUAGCUUUUCAUGAUUACUCAUACUAAUUACAGCUAUUUAUGAAAAGAUGUGACCUCUUCUAGGUAGAAGAGGAAUUCAACUCAAAUUCUGUAAGGAGAAACCUUAGUAUAAAAAGAGGAUCUAUGCAACAAUUUUCAUCAUCUUUAAUG
This 230-nucleotide long non-coding RNA is filed under the name Elaeis guineensis (African oil palm). RNAcentral describes it as "long non-coding RNA (EGUI_LNC056380)". The record is from RNAcentral. Lineage: Eukaryota; Viridiplantae; Streptophyta; Magnoliopsida; Arecales; Arecaceae.